This 311-nucleotide ribosomal RNA is filed under the name uncultured bacterium. RNAcentral's name for it is "bacterial SSU rRNA". It matches the Rfam family "Bacterial small subunit ribosomal RNA", at positions 1029 to 1340 of the family's 1533-position model. The record is from RNAcentral.
GGGUGACAGGUGGUGCAUGGUUGUCGUCAGCUCGUGUCGUGAGAUGUUGGGUUAAGUCCCGCAACGAGCGCAACCUUUGUCCUUAGUUGCCACCAUUCAGUUGGGCACUCUAAGGAGACUGCCGGUGACAAACCGGAGGAAGGUGGGGAUGAGCGUCAAAUCAUCAUGCCCCUUAUGAGUUGGGCUACACACGUGCUACAAUGGACGGUACAAAGGGCAGCGAAGCCGCGAGGUGGAGCCAAUCCCAGAAAGCCGUUCUCAGUUCGGAUUGCAGGCUGCAACUCGCCUGCAUGAAGUCGGAAUCGCUAGUA